GUAAAAGAAAAGUCUUUGCGUCCCAAGCCGGCCAUGCUUCAAAAAGGAGCCUCACGCCAGGAUCCCCCUUCAGACGGCGUCAAUGGGAACAGAGUCGGGAUCCCAUGUCUGCAUCUCAUCCUCCAGCACCCAAAGCAGAGCAGACUGCUGCGGAUGAGCCUUCAUCCUCCAGAAUUUGAGUAAUCAGAAAGGAAAACGCAACACGAAGGCAAUGUGGACGACUGACACCACAUGUCUGUGUGGAGCCGCUGGGGGGCAGAGCAGCGCUGCGCCACAGCAGAUGUUUAUUCAGCGGAUUGGAGUCCUGCAGCUCCGAGGUUUUUCUUGGGCGACGGCCACUUUCUGAGGCAAGAGCUCAUGCGAAAUAUCCCGCUGGCAGCCUGGCGGGCUCACUGCUGUCUCAGACACUUCGUAAAGGCUUUCCGUUAUCCUGGGUGGCAUUCAAAAGCAUAUGAGUGGAUCAGGGAUGGAUGAGAAGUGUGUGUAAAGUAGAAGGAGAUGUUUAGGGCACGGAGGUCAAAACUAUUUCCUGUGCGCCCACAACACCUCCCACACACACAUCCAUCAGUUGUUAUUCAAACAAAUGCAGCCAUCAGACGCUGGAAAUAACACUGGUGUUGCAAUAGUUGUCUCUGCAGAAAUUAGUAGGUUUCACAAACAAUUGAGAUGAAACAGAAAGUAAUGUAGUUGGAUGUAAAACACCUGAAUUUUAUUUUCUUGUAAACUGUACGCUCAUAAAAUGCUGUAUGGUCAAAACUAGGGGAGAGCGGGACAAAAGGAACAUUUUUCAUAAAAACCUAGGCUAUUUUUAAAAGAUAAUGUUUUAGCAGAAAAAUAUUUUUUUCUGUGGUUACUAACUCUCAGGAGUGGUCUAAAAAAUCAGGUUUUAUUAUGUAUCAAUGUAGAACUACUCCAAAAUAACUUGACUUUAAACAAAAGUUGCACAAGUUACAUUUGACCCCAUCAGCAGGGACGAAAGUAACACACAGGUGGGUCAAAAGUAACAAUAUUCGCUAGAUUUACUGGAUUAAUCUUGUUUAUUUAAAAUAUAUCUGAAUAUGAUCUUGUUAAUGUUCACUGCAAACAUAUUUUGUCCUUUAUUUUUCUGAAAAAAUCAUUAACUGCAUUUUCUUUUUCACUUUCAUCAAAUGUUUCUAAAGUAAUUCAACAUUGCAAAAUGUUACAAUUUUCUACAACUCUUGAAUAUUUUUGUAAUUUUAUAAUAUUUAACAAUAUGCAUUAAUCUUUUAAAACAUCUGAAUCCAAACUGGAAUUUGGAAGCGAAAAAUAAGGUCUGAAUAAUAGCAGUGGGACAUAAAUAACCGUGUUACUUUCAUUCCCACAUGAACUCAUGCCAUGUAAACCUGUUAAACGUUUAAACUGAAAAAACUUAAGGAUGUGAUAUUGCACUAAAUAAUCUGUAGACUGAUCAUUACUUUGACUCAUGAAAAGAGAAACUCAGCUUGUAAUUAGGAAAAAAGAACCGCUACAAUAAUUUACUUUCUGCACAUAAAAACUGAAAUUUAAAGCUAAAAUAGUUCUAAAAUCGACACUGUGCUAAAAUCAGCCGAUAUUUGGCAGCUCCAUCAAGGGUUGCACGCUGAGUGUGCUGUUAUAGGCUGAAAAUCAAAUGUUGUCAGGGCUUCAAGAAAAUUGAAUUGUUAAAUUCGCCCCACUUGUUUUAUGUUUGAUAUUAUUAAAUUUGUAAAAACAAUAAAGUUAACUUAAUCAAAUUGUGUUGGGACAACAUGAAGAAAUUGUGAGGAACCCAGCAUUUUUUACAGCAUACUUUUAACUUUGGGAAGACAUAAACUGAAAAAGGAACAACUUUCAAUAGUUCUUCAUGUGCAAGGAAUUGUGCAAAAUGACAACAGAGUUUUAAAUGGUAAAAUAUACUACCAAUUGGAAUUGGUUUUAAUCUACAGCUUUGGACAAAAGCAUUUGCAAUAAACACCAAGUAACUCAUUGAAUUAAAAAAAUAUUAUUUUGAAAUUGCAAACAAAGGCUAAAUAAAAUGCAAACGUGUUGAUUAAAAUGUGAAAAUUGGAGUCCUGAAAUCUGAAAUAGUAAUUUCUUGUUAAAACUUAUAAUAUUUAUUUAAUUGUUUUCAAAAAAUAUUUAUUUAAAUCAAAUCUAACACACUAAAUUUAUUGUUACUUUUUGAAGAACACAUUUUUCAAAUGAGAUUUUCUUUUUAAAUGUUUUACAUGAAUCAGUUUUAUUUUUAACUCAUUUCCCUGAAGAAAAAAUCUCACACUUUAUAAUAAGGUUUCAUUAAUUAAUGUAUUUACUUACGUGAACUAAGUAUGAACGAAACUUGUAGAGUAAUUAUUAAGCAUAUUUCAGCAAUUGCUAAAGCCUUAAAAUGCAAAUUCAUGCUUGUUAACAUUAGAUAAUCCACCGUGAGUAAACAUGAACAACUGUAUUUUCAUUAACUCACAUGAACAAAUACUGUAAUCAAUAUUGUUUAUUGUUUGUGGAUGUUAAUAAAUGCUUCAACUAUCAUUAACUAAUACAACCUUAUUGUAAAGUGUCACCAAAAAAGAAUAGAAACAGCAACACUAAAUAGUAUUUUAUUAUAAAUUUUGUAUUGUUGGAUUCUUUUUUUUUUUUUUUUUUGGCAUAAAAUACUGAAUAAACAUUGUUAAUUCAUGAGUAAAUGAUUGUUCAUCUUCUCCCUUUGACCUUUAGAUUUUAUAGCUGGAUGACAGAGACUGAGGACUUCAUUCAGACCUCUGGAUCUUUGAUUGACACUGAGUCGUCUCACAUGAGUUCAUAGUCUUGGUUAAUCAAAGACGGUAAGAUGCGAACCCAAGCAGAGUCCGGCCCGAUCUACAGUCGUCUGGCCCGCGGUGCAGUGCUGCAUCUCUGGUCAACUGGGAGUCUGAGAUGAAGCACUGUAGCUCGGGAGGACAACACUGUCAGCUCAUACAAACAACACACAUGCAUUUACAUAUGUGAGAUUGCUUUUGAAUAGUUGCCUAACCAUUUGCUUUAUAGGGCAAAUGUUGGUUUUUCAGUCACUGCAGGAUUUUGUGAAUCUGUGAUUGCACAUGUUAAUGCAUAGUAAAGCAAAUGCGUCAAAAUUGGCUUUUUUUUUUUUUUACUUUGCCACAGAUUUUAGGUACAGUUGAAGUCAGAACUAUUAGCCCUCCUGAAUAUUUUUCCCCAAUUUCUGUUUAACAGAAACAGUUUUUCAACACAUUUCUAAACAUAAUAAUUUCAAUAACAAAUUUUUAAUAACUGAUUAUUUUUUAUAAAAACCCGUUCUCACAACUAAAUAAUAAAACUUUUUUUAAAUAAAAUAAAACAAAAUCAGUUAAUAAAACAAAAUCAGCUAUUCUGAAGAAUAGUCACAGUUCCAAGUUAGAAAGUCACAAUUUUGAGUUAGAAAAUCAGAGUUCCGAGUUAGAAAGUCACGAUUCCUAGUUAGAAAAUCAAAAUUCCAAGUUAGAAAUUUGCAAUUCCUAGUUAUAAAGUUGCAAUUCAGAGUUAGCAAGUCGCAAUUUAGAAUAAGAAAGUCAGAAUUUCGAGUAAGAAACACACUAUUCCAAGUUAGAAAUUCGCAAUUCCAAGUUAAAAAAUCAGAAUUUCGAGUUAGAAAGUCACAAUUCAGAGUUAUAAAGUCACAAUUUAGAGUUAGAAAAUCACAAUUCCGAGUUAGAAAGUCUCAAUUCUGAGUUAGAAAAUCAAAAUUCCUAGUUAAAAAGUCACUAUUCCGAGUUAGAAAAUCUGAAUUCCAAGUUACAAAGUCAGAAUUACAAUUUAGAAAGUUGCAAUUCCGAGUUAGAGAAUCAGAAAUUUGAGUUAUAAAGUCGCAAUUCCUGAUUAGAAAGUCAAAAUUCCGAGUUAUAAUUAUAUAAUUUUGCCUUAUUUUUCUUGGUUCUGUUUAAAAAUCUAAUUUUUCCACAGAAUUGGAGGUAAACUUUACAUUUGCCAGUUUAUAGACUUUCUCACACAAUUAGUUUAAUUUGCAUUUCUCAAUCUUUAUCUUAGCAUUACAACUUUGUUUUUAGAAGUACAAAAAUACAAAUAUUUCUCUAAAUCAAAUGUUCUUCUGUAAGAUGACAUUUAAAAAUUUGGUGUUAUGAUAAAAGCUCAUUUAAAUCGUGGAUUGGCAAAACACAUUGCACUUGAAGUAGUGAUUGGUUUGUCAUAUUUAAUAAAUAUGUUAAUGACUUGCUUAUUUUGAUCUUUCACAGCCCUUUGUGUAUCGAAUAUGAUGUUGUGGGCUGAAUAGGAUUCAAAGAUAAACAUUAAGUUUCUUUCUCUAUUGUGUUUCUUAUAUCAUUUAUAAGCCCAAUUAUUCUUCAGGUAAAAAUAAAUAAAUAAAUAAAUAAAUAAAUAAAAGUGUGAGAAGAUUGUUGUCUGUGUAUAUUCUCACAGCAAAAUAAGUCAUUUUAGGCUACAAUAACGUCCUGGAGGGACUGGUUAUUUUACAUGUGCAUCUGUUGCUGUCAGUCUUCAUCAUUUCCUCAUCCCCGGGGUCCAGUUUUCCCAGGAAUCCCUUGGGCAAUCGAAAGGGGGAUUCCUGGAAAUACUGUUCUUGGGGUUGGGGCUGGACUACUGAAUAUGACAUAUUUUUAGCUUUACCUCAUUUUAGAUUUGAUCGUGUGUUACUGUCAUCAUUUGGUGCAUCCAUGCAUUGCUACAUAUAGAAAUAGAUGACUAUAUACAGUAGAAGGCUGAUCAAACCUGUCUUCAGUAAGAUUUUAUUUUUAUAGAUAGAUAGAUAGAUAGAUAGACAGACAGACAGACAGACAGACAGACAGACAGACAGACAGACAGACAGACAGACAGACAGACAGAUAGAUAGAUAGAUAGAUAGAUAGAUAGAUGUUGAAUUUCUUUAAAAUGUUUCAAUAAAGCUAUUAUUAAUCGAACUGUGUUUGUACUGAAUUAUUUUUUAUGUCUAUGUUUGUCUGUAUAUAGAAUAUUUCCAUCUGUUUCAAGUCUUUACAGAGCAUUAGGCCUACUUUCACAUCACGCAUGAAAUGAAGAAACAGCGCCAUCUAUUAGUUUAAAUAUACAGAAAACCCAUCAUGAAGUCCACACGGGGGCGCAGCAGCUGAGUUUAUCAGUGAGCAGAAGAGCAGAACCCGCGACCGCACGUGGAGACUUUACUUCAGUCUACACUGGAGAUCCUUACAAAUU
RNAcentral lists this long non-coding RNA (5154 nucleotides) under Danio rerio (zebrafish). Its description in RNAcentral is "lncRNA (ENSDARG00000117253.1)". The stretch from base 2837 to 2920 matches the Rfam family "mir-143 microRNA precursor family". The record is from RNAcentral. Lineage: Eukaryota; Metazoa; Chordata; Actinopteri; Cypriniformes; Danionidae.